CAGUAGCCACGGUAAUACGUAGGGUGCAAGCGUUAAUCGGAAUUACUGGGCGUAAAGCGUGCGUAGGCGGUGAGUUAAGUCUGCUGUGAAAUCCCCGGGCUCAACCUGGGAAUGGCAGUGGAUACUGGCUCGCUAGAGUGUGUCAGAGGAUGGUGGAAUUCCACGUGUAGCGGUGAAAUGCGUAGAGAUGUGGAGAAACACCAGUGGCGAAGGCGACUCUCUGGUCUGUAACUGACGCUGAGGAGCGAAAGCGUGGGGAGCGAACAGGAUUAGAUACCCCGGUAGUCCCUGUCUCUUAUAC
RNAcentral lists this ribosomal RNA (301 nucleotides) under uncultured bacterium. RNAcentral describes it as "partial 16S ribosomal RNA". It matches the Rfam family "Bacterial small subunit ribosomal RNA", at positions 509 to 807 of the family's 1533-position model. The record is from RNAcentral.